CAGCCGCCGCGGGAAUACAGAGGAUGCAAGCGUUAUCCGGAAUGAUUGGGCGUAAAGCGCGCGCAGGCGGAUAGGUCAGUCUGUCUUAAAAGUUCGGGGCUUAACCCCGUGAUGGGAUGGAAACUGCUGAUCUAGAGUAUCGGAGAGGAAAGUGGAAUUCCUAGUGUAGCGGUGAAAUGCGUAGAUAUUAGGAAGAACACCAGUGGCGAAGGCGACUUUCUGGACGAAAACUGACGCUGAGGCGCGAAAGCCAGGGGAGCGAACGGGAUUAGAUACCCGCGUAGUCCCUGUCUCUUAUACA
RNAcentral lists this ribosomal RNA (301 nucleotides) under uncultured bacterium. RNAcentral's name for it is "partial 16S ribosomal RNA". It matches the Rfam family "Bacterial small subunit ribosomal RNA", at positions 509 to 809 of the family's 1533-position model. The record is from RNAcentral.